GGGGGUAUAGCACAGUAGGUUAGUGCGCUGGUCUGUCACGCCAGAGGUCGUGGGUUCAAAUCCCACUACUCUC
This 73-nucleotide transfer RNA is filed under the name Chromochloris zofingiensis. Its description in RNAcentral is "tRNA-Asp". It matches the Rfam family "tRNA". From Rfam's summary of the family: Transfer RNA (tRNA) molecules are approximately 80 nucleotides in length. Their secondary structure includes four short double-helical elements and three loops (D, anti-codon, and T loops). Further hydrogen bonds mediate the characteristic L-shaped molecular structure. tRNAs have two regions of fundamental functional importance: the anti-codon, which is responsible for specific mRNA codon recognition, and the 3' end, to which the tRNAs corresponding amino acid is attached (by aminoacyl-tRNA synthetases). tRNAs cope with the degeneracy of the genetic code in two manners: having more than one tRNA (with a specific anti-codon) for a particular amino acid; and 'wobble' base-pairing, i.e. permitting non-standard base-pairing at the 3rd anti-codon position. Lineage: Eukaryota; Viridiplantae; Chlorophyta; Chlorophyceae; Sphaeropleales; Chromochloridaceae. The record is from RNAcentral.